UGGCAAUUUAGGGAUUUCACCCCUGCUUUAACUCAUUGUCGUUCUUGAACAUCAAUCGCCAUGGUUCAAUGCGACCUUUCGGUACCUGUCACUCGUCAGUUCCCAUCUCCCCUAUAACCUAAUGUUCGAUUCUUAAAGCUUCCAUCAAUGGCGAUGAAUCCCAUCUCCCCUCUGGCUUGUUUUUCGUUUCUUACCUCAAUCAACCAGAUCUUGUGAGAUGGAUAGAAUGUUCAAAAAUCUAGGGUUCAAUGUCAGAAUUGCAAGGUGAAAACGAAGAUUACAAUUGAUUUGAGAUCCUCCCACGAAGAUUCACAAAUAGAUUUGAUUACAAGACCCUAAAAUCGUUCAAGGUAUGUGAAUUCUGAUUCUUUUGUGUCUCUUGUGUUUCCCUUUUUUCAUAUGAUUAUAUGUCUAGGGUUUGUUAUUUGUUAAUUUGUUCCCCUGGUAUAACGAUUGUUGACAAUUCUGUUUGUUGCAUCCAAGUGAAGCUGGAUGAAAUUGUGUUUAAAGUUAGUUAAAUUUAUGAAUUGUUAUUGAUCUUGAUGUUGAAAGUUGGGGCCAUUUGGAAUCGCAUUGAUUUGACUUGCUGUAGUCAGAGUAGACUUUGAUCCAUUCAAGUGAUAAAACUGCUACUGGAUUUGCCAUGUAGACCAGACACCAAACUACCAGGGUUGGUGACGAUGGGCUUUAAGGUAAAACCGAUGGCGCACUACUCUUGGAGAGAAUAAUGAUGAAAAAUGUUGAGGUAAUCACAUGAUAACCAUUGAUUUGUUUUUGGUAGGAUGAAAAAUGUUGAGGUAAUCACAUGGUAAAACCGAUGGCGCACUACUCUUGGAGUGUACAUAUUUCAGUACUAAAAUCACAAGUUUACACAUUCUUAUAGUGGUUUAAUCCAUGUCUUUGACCGGUAUUGUUAUAGUUUGAAGCAAAGUUGGGUAAUCGGAGAUGAUACAAUAAAUGAAACUGCAUCUUUAUAAGUUUUUGUUUGUUGGUUGCAUGAUUAUUCUUUGUUUAGUUUAUUGUUUUAAUGUUUUUCUUGUUCAUGGUUUAUAAACUAUGCAAGCACUCCUUUAUAGUUUUAACUCUCUGUAACAAGUUUCAUAUCAUAAUUUAUGUCUUCACUAAUCAGUUUCCAUAAUUUAACUUCAUCUUACAUUUACAAGCCGGUUUUCAUUUCUAUGAUCAAAGGUUAGUACAUCUUCAUUAUUUGGGAUGGUUUCACUCGCAGUACUUGAUGUACCUCCACACCGCUGAUGACGGAUGUCCCGUCUCGACUGGACCAGUACGAGGUUUGGUAUGCUGGACCAGUAGUAGGAGGUUUAGUGUGCUGUUUUACAGGUUUGAGUGUGGAAUGAAAUCUGUCCAAAAACACUUCAUAUAUAACGUUAAAAACAAAGAUCGAAAGGUAGGAAAGAGUGGAAUAACGCCGGUGUCCGGCGAGAGGAAGGUGUAAAGUGGGCAUUUCGUUGUAGAGUGCUUUUUUUUGACGUAUUGAAUUUGGCAGAAACUACACACGAAAGGGUAUAAAAGACACCCCCAAGUCCAAAAAUUUAAGAAGAUGGUCUGCUGCUGCAAUACUUUCAAAAAAGAAGGCUUUGCUACUUGUCAGAAAACUUAAAAAUUCCUUGCAUGCAAACAGCAAAUUGCAUAGGAUUUUAUAUUGAUUUGUUGUUUUUGAGUGGCAUGGAAAGAUGUUCGUGGCAUCAUCUACUUGAAUGAACUUCAAGUAUCAAAUUCUCAUCUUCUUUCUUUAUUUUGUUUAUGAUUUACUGAAUUUUAUAUGUGAUUACUUUAUGAGCAGACACGUACUUAUCUUGCUAUUGAGGCAAAAUAUGAGAUGGAAAUUUGAUAGUCCGUAUAAUUUUCUGUGAUAUAAGCUGGGACACCCACCGCAACGCGCGGGCAUUCUCAUUUAUAAUAAUAAUAUCCAAAUAUAAUGAAUAUUUAAGGCAUGCCGGGAUAGAUUCUGAUAUCCAAAAGAGACUUGGUGUUACCCGCCGCAUCGCGUGGGCCAACCCACUAUACUAUAUAAUACAUUUCCUAUGUACUACUGAAACGUAAUUUUCCCUUGAAAUUUUAAGAUGGCAGACGAAGAGUCAAGCCUUCGAAUAUGCAAGAAACGUAAUCUUAACCGGAUCCAGAGGUUCUUUCAGGUGCAGGGCUGGCUUGUUGAAUAACUUGAAGACGUUUAGGUCGCCGCUGACGCCUUAAAACAUCCGAACCGGCCGGAUAGAAUACCAUGCUCUAAGAUCACAUGGCCUCCUAUUGAUUUUGGCAAGUAUGUAACACAUUUAGAUGGAUGAUUGCAUUUUUUUACAUUGUAAUAUCAGUUUCCACUAUUGUUGUUGAUAAUAAAAGGGUUGUAUUUGUAUCUUAACUUUAUCGCUUGCAAAUUGUCACCCCCGCAGCAACGCGCG
Helianthus annuus (common sunflower) is the source of this 2417-nucleotide long non-coding RNA. RefSeq lists it as uncharacterized. The transcript is spliced from 5 exons. NCBI's taxonomy places the organism in Eukaryota, Viridiplantae, Streptophyta, Magnoliopsida, Asterales, Asteraceae. The record is from RefSeq and is a predicted model, not a curated record.